UUUGUGGGUAUCAUCAGUUUCGUUCCAUCUUCUCUCCCUAUUCUCUGCAAACCCUCAAAGAAAAAAUAGAAAAAAUCUCCAGAAAUUAGAAAAAGAAUGGAUGCUUUGCACAACCCAGAUGUUGCAGGAGCAGCAGCAGGUUGUUUCAUGUUGGAUGGUGAAGACGACCUUCUCAACUUCUCCUUGGACGACGGUGAAGAAGAGAAAGAAAAUAAAAAUCCUUCCCCUUUUCUAAAAGACCCUUAUUCUUUUUCUCCUUCAAAUACCCUCAUUAGCCAUCAAGAUGAUGAUCUCAGCCGUUCACCUUCCUUCCCUGUAAGUCUUAAUUGAUGCCUGUGCUAUGCUAUGCUUUUGUUAAAGGUUAUGUUCUUGGAGCCCAGAAAGUCUUUUGCUGAGUUUGCCAUGAACUCGGCCGAGUCUGGGCGGUUUGCAUGAACUUGGUGCUGGAAAUGCUGUGACUCGGUUUUGCCACUGAGUUGACUCGGGCGAGUUUUGACUGAGUUGUAUUCCGAGUCUGGCGGUUUUGGACGGCUUCUGUGUAUAUAUAUAUAUGCUCUAAAAUACACGAGUGAGUUGAAAUGCUUUGAGACGUUAAGGGUAUUUUGGUAAUUUUGUGAGGUAACGCGUGAUGGGGGCUCCUUUGACUGAGAAGAGUCCGAGUUUUUGACUCGGUGGAACUGGAAAAUGGGAAACCACGAAAUUGGACAAAGGAUGGCGGCCAAGGGUAUUUUGGUAAUUCUGUUUCUGGACGAUUUGCCCUUAGAAACCCUGAGCAUGGAAUUGGACAAAGGAUGGCGGCCAAGGGUAUUUUGGGAAAGAAAUAGUUUUUACGCGUCUUUAUUAGUGAAGCAUGGGCUGUCACUUGGGAUUUUUCUGAGCUGGACUAAUUAAAUGAGCAUAUAACCGGACGAAUAUUUUCGGUGCCUGUUUUAGUAUUAAAAGACAACUUUGCCCCCACGGAAUAUCCUGUCCCCCUGUCUGAGUGAGGGUUACCUUCUUUGGAAUUUUUGACGUUGUCGGUACCCUUUACAGAAAUUUGAUUUCCCAUGAUAAUCAAAAUUCCUUAGUAGUGCUGCAACUAAAUAAGUGGAAAUAUAAAAAAAAAAAUUUACAUAAUUUCUGUGAAACUGAAAAUCGAAAAUUGUUCAUUUGUUGGAACCUUUUGAUGGAUGUAUUACACUGAGUUGAUUCUGUGGGUUGACUAAUGAGCUGACUUAACUUAGUCCUUUUGGGUCUGCUCAGUUUCUUGAGGGAUGGAGAUGUAGUUCUGAUUAUAUAUUGUUGUCCCAUUUUAUUCAGGAGUUUGAGGAAGAACUGGAAUGGUUAUCGAACAAGGACGCAUUCCCGGCAGUGGAGACAUGCUUCGACCUUCUAUCUGAGACCCCGGAUUUUGAUGGAUUGAACCACCAGAGCCCG
RNAcentral lists this long non-coding RNA (1416 nucleotides) under Coffea arabica (coffee). RNAcentral describes it as "long non-coding RNA (CARA_LNC002442)". Lineage: Eukaryota; Viridiplantae; Streptophyta; Magnoliopsida; Gentianales; Rubiaceae. The record is from RNAcentral.